CCUACGGGUGGCUGCAGUGAGGAAUAUUGGUCAAUGGACGGAAGUCUGAACCAGCCAAGUCGCGUGCAGGAUGACUGCCCUACGAGUUGUAAACUUCUUUUAUAAAAGAAUAAAGUGAGGCACGUGUGCCUUUUUGUAUGUACUUUAUGAAUAAGGAUCGGCUAACUCCGUGCCAGCAGCCGCGGUAAUACGGAGGAUCCGAGCGUUAUCCGGAUUUAUUGGGUGUAAAGGGAGCGUAGACGGCCGGACAAGUCUGAAGUGAAAUGCCGGGGCUCAACCUCGGGACUGCUCUGGACACUGUUCGGCUGGAGAAUAGUUGCGGUAAGCGGAAUGUCUGGUGUAGCGGUGAAAUGCGUAGAUAUCAUACAGAACACCAGUGGCGAAGGCAGCUUACUGGGCU
This 400-nucleotide ribosomal RNA is filed under the name uncultured bacterium. RNAcentral describes it as "partial 16S ribosomal RNA". It matches the Rfam family "Bacterial small subunit ribosomal RNA", at positions 338 to 735 of the family's 1533-position model. The record is from RNAcentral.